GGGAGAGCCGCCCGAUGGACGGGCAGGGCGCUGUAAACGCCCCGCGUCAGCAAGCAGGUUCGAUUCCUGCCUCUCCCA
RNAcentral lists this transfer RNA (78 nucleotides) under Chloroflexota bacterium. RNAcentral describes it as "tRNA-Tyr". It matches the Rfam family "tRNA". Rfam says of the family: Transfer RNA (tRNA) molecules are approximately 80 nucleotides in length. Their secondary structure includes four short double-helical elements and three loops (D, anti-codon, and T loops). Further hydrogen bonds mediate the characteristic L-shaped molecular structure. tRNAs have two regions of fundamental functional importance: the anti-codon, which is responsible for specific mRNA codon recognition, and the 3' end, to which the tRNAs corresponding amino acid is attached (by aminoacyl-tRNA synthetases). tRNAs cope with the degeneracy of the genetic code in two manners: having more than one tRNA (with a specific anti-codon) for a particular amino acid; and 'wobble' base-pairing, i.e. permitting non-standard base-pairing at the 3rd anti-codon position. Lineage: Bacteria; Bacillati; Chloroflexota. The record is from RNAcentral.